Molecule: long non-coding RNA, 2527 nt
Filed under: Gallus gallus (chicken)
Lineage: Eukaryota; Metazoa; Chordata; Aves; Galliformes; Phasianidae
Source: RNAcentral
CCCGAACGGAGACCCCGGCCCGGCCGUGCGGCCUACCCCGACCCCGACCCCGACCCGGUCCUGCGACCUACCUCGAACCGAGGGCCCGGCCCGGCCUGGCCGCCCCUCCUCCCCCGCCCCGGGCCCUCUCGCCCCUCCGUACCGGGGAAGGCCGCGGGGGGGCGGAGCGGGGCUGCAGGGAACGGCGGAAUCGAUCGCAGCGCCGGAACCGGGAGGCGGAGGCCGAGGGGCUGCGGGGCUGCACCGGGGCGAACCCCCUCCCAACCCCCCCCCCCUCCGCAUCCCACCCCGCUGGGGGUGUCGGGGCGCGGGGCUGCACCCCAUGGAGGGGAAGUUCCUCCAGCCGAAGAUGGGGGCGACUUCGGGUUCACUGUAGUGGAGCAUUUUCACUUCCGAGUCGCUCAGCCCAAAGUCCCACAUGUAGACGUCGGACAUCUCCCCCGUGAAGGACUGCAGAACGUCGAAGCCUCCCCCGUAGGCGUCCUGCUCCUGCCCCAGCACCACCACGGCCUCGUUGCCCACCACGUAGCCCUUCUGCAGCCCUUUGCGGGGCCACGGGCGCCCGUUGAGCCAGAAGCGCACGAUGCCGCUGGGUGACUCCCAGGUGACGCAGACGUGCUCUGGGUCCAUAUAGUUCUCGGGGAUGUGGAAGGCGACGUAUUUCCCCCCCACGUAGAAGUGGUACUCGGUGGGUUUGAAUUUGAGGAGGAGGAUCUCGUUGUCCUGCUCCUUGGUGGCGUAGGAGAAGAGGCUGUGGGGCCGGGUGAGGUCGGUGUAGGAGCGCAGGCACACGGUGAAGUUGAGCAGGGGGUGCUCUGGCCGUGCCUGCAGCAGCACGUAGGAAUCGUUGGACGCUUGGGGGAACACGAACACUCUGUACUUCAGGUCUGGGAGAGGUGAGAAAAAAGUCAGUGUCCCUCACAGAGGGAAACUAUCAGACGGGGAAGUGGCCACUCUUAGCCCAGAGGUGGCUUCCAGCAUCUCGAGGUGCAGCCACGGGAGGGCUGGUGACCCAGGGUGACAUUGGCACGGGGUGGCGAGGAGGAGCUGGGAGAAGGAGGGCACGGCUGGGGACAGGUUUUCCCCUCCUUACCGUCUAUCCAAAGGUUGUAGGUGGCCACGGCGGUGCCCUGGGGGCUGCUGACCUUGCAGGUGUAGGUGCCCAGGUGGGUUUUGUUUAAGGAGCGGAAGAGGAGGAUAUCACUGGGGCCUUUCUGCAGCGGUUUGUGGAUCCCUUUCUUCUCCCACACGAACUCCUUGGGGCUGUGUGGGGCUCGGUGUCACCCAGGCCUGGGGUUGCCCGUGGGGUGGCCGUGCCGUGGGGUGGAGGGGUUGGGGGGGGAUGCCUUACCCGGGGUCCCCGGAGACCUUGCAGCUCAGCACCAGGCUGUGGUACAUAGAGGGCACUAUGGGGGAGCUCUGGAUCUGGGCGCUCAUUUUGGCUGCGGCACCUGGACAGAAGGACGGCGCUGAGGUGGGGGGGUUUCAUCGCCCUGCCACCCCCCAUCACAGCCCACGUCCCCACGUGUGCCCCUUUUGUGAUGUCCGGCGUUGUAUCCCUGCUGUGCCGCGUUGCUCAGUGCCACCACCCCGUGUGUCCCCCUGUCGUCGUCCCCCGACCCCCUAUGGGAUCUUUCACCCCUACCAUCUGUGGCAGAGAGGCUGCAGAGCCCCACGAGGAAGGAGAGGAGGCAGAAGCGUGGCGUCCCCAUGACCCCACCUCAGUGACAAUGGCAGAGGCACCGCUCCAGGGGACUUCCCAGAAGGAAGGCACUCCCACCUGAUUUUCUCCCUGGACUGCGAGGGCACUGACCCACGUGUCGCUGUGUGGACAUUGGCCCCGCAUCCCACAGGUGGACGUCCGCCAUCUCCCCCGUGAACGAGUUGUAGACGUCGAAGCCUCCCCCGUAGGCGUCCUGCUCCUGCCCCAGCAUCACCACGGCCUCGUUGCCCACCUCGUAGCCCUUCUGCAGCCCUUUGCGGGGCCACGGGCGCCCGUUGAGCCAGAACUCGGCGAUGCCGCUGCCCGACUCCCAGCUGGCGCAGACGUGUUCCCAUUCCCCGCGGUUCUCGGGGACGCGGAAGAAGGCAGUGAGGAGCAGCACGAGGGGCGCGAGGCAGCAGUGCAGCCCCCCCAGCGCCGUGCUCAGCCCCAGCGCGAAAUCAAAGCUCUCAAAGGCACUGCAGCCCUCAUCGUAGAUGGAGUUGAAGAGGUCCACGAGGAACGAGGAGGUUCUGUUCACCACGAUUUCAGGGCUCUGUGAAGGACAGGAGGUGCCGUGUGCUGCGGGGUGACGCUGAGUUGGCCCCUCCGGUGGCCACGUGCCGCGCUUUAUCAGGGAGGGACAGUGUGGGGAGUGCUGAUAUCUCAGGGUGUGGUUUCAUCCCAAGCCAAGAAAACCCGUUUUCUUGCACUCAGUGGUGUUUUCCAGUUCCAGGACUCGUUGCUAUGCACCCCUCCCUGGGGGGGAGGUGGUGUUGGGUACCCUAUGGGGUCAGGGUUGGGUACCCAAUGGGAGUGGGGUUG